UGGCUCAGGACGAACGCUGGCGGCGCGCCUAACACAUGCAAGUCGAGCGAGAACCAGGGCUUCGGCUCUGGGGAAAGCGGCGAACGGGUGAGUAACACGUGGGUAACCUGCCCUCGGCACCGGGAUAGCCCGGGGAAACCCGGAUUAAUACCGGACAGCCUCACGAGCCCUCGGGCGAGUGAGAAAAGGUGGCUUCGGCUUCCGGCUGAGGAUGGGCCCGCGGCCGAUUAGCUUGUUGGUGAGGUAAUGGCUCACCAAGGCUCCGAUCGGUAGCUGGUCUGAGAGGACGAUCAGCCACACUGGGACUGAGACACGGCCCAGACUCCUACGGGAGGCAGCAGUGGGGAAUCUUGCGCAAUGGGCGAAAGCCUGACGCAGCGACGCCGCGUGCGGGAAGAAGGCCUUCGGGUUGUAAACCGCUUUCAGGAGGGACGAGGCCACUCAGGUUAAUAGCCGAGAGGGUGACGGUACCUCCAGAAGAAGCCCCGGCUAACUACGUGCCAGCAGCCGCGGUAAUACGUAGGGGGCUAGCGUUGUCCGGAUUUAUUGGGCGUAAAGAGCGCGUAGGCGGCCGUGUAAGUCCGACGUGAAAUCUGGAGGCUCAACCUCCAGCGGUCGUUGGAAACUACACGGCUAGAGUCCGGAAGAGGAGAGUGGAAUUCCUGGUGUAGCGGUGAAAUGCGCAGAUAUCAGGAAGAACACCGAUGGCGAAAGCAGCUCUCUGGGACGGUACUGACGCUGAGGCGCGAAAGCGUGGGGAGCGAACAGGAUUAGAUACCCUGGUAGUCCACGCCGUAAACGAUGGGUGCUAGGUGUGGGCGGUGUCGACUCCGCCCGUGCCGAAGCUAACGCAUUAAGCACCCCGCCUGGGGAGUACGGCCGCAAGGCUAAAACUCAAAGG
RNAcentral lists this ribosomal RNA (901 nucleotides) under uncultured bacterium. Its description in RNAcentral is "bacterial SSU rRNA". It matches the Rfam family "Bacterial small subunit ribosomal RNA", at positions 20 to 907 of the family's 1533-position model. The record is from RNAcentral.